Long non-coding RNA from Pseudophryne corroboree (corroboree frog), 966 nucleotides. RefSeq lists it as uncharacterized. NCBI's taxonomy places the organism in Eukaryota, Metazoa, Chordata, Amphibia, Anura, Myobatrachidae. The record is from RefSeq and is a predicted model, not a curated record. The transcript has 4 exons.
GAGAGGUAUCCGUCUUGAGGAAGUCUCCGGUUGCUAGGAGACUAAACGCGUUGAUGCCCACCUCUCAUUUCGAACUUUCCAGCUGAUUUUACCCGCCAGCCCUAACAUCCCACGGCUGCUCACGAGUCCCAGCACUUUGCCGCACGGACAUCUCUGUCUACCGCUGGGAGAGCCCUGCCUUGCCUCCGUUGCGGGUCCCGGCGACUGUGCCGCACGGCUCCUUUGUUCACCGCCGGGAGAACUCAGAGUGACCUCCGCUAUUAGGUCUGCCCGUACACCGCUGCAGGUGAUUGCCGGAGGCUGUGUGGGACGGCAGCAGCCAGCGUUAAUUACAUCCUGGAGACGAACAGUGUCUCUGUAGCAAGGCGGCCGCUUCUCAUUAUUACAGCAGCAGCUACAUGGUAGCAUACCAUUUACACCACAUGCAAUUUACUAUCAAAAAGGACCCUGAUUGCAUUAUCUACAGGAACCAGCACAUGGGGGAAUGUACCCAUGCUUCAACAGUUUUACCCAGGAUACACUUCUGCAAAACCACUCCAGUAUUGGACCAGUUUACCCCACUCUACCAUGGACGUCCUACUUGUGAUGUGGACCUGAACCACCGCCAUGUUAGAGUCACUCUUUCAGUCUUGCGGAGUAUCCUUCCCAAGGUGCAGGAACCAGCGUGGAUGAUGGGACCGGACAGUUCCCCUGCUGUACCAUGGGCGACCUACUUGUGAUGUGGACCUGAACCUCUGCCAUGUAGCAGACACCCCCCCUCAGGUCUUGCGGAGUAUCCUUCCCAAGGUACAGGAACCAGCGUGGAUGUCAAGGGACAAGACAGUUCCCCUGCUGUACCAUGGGCGACCUACCACAAUACCACUGCAUCUCUGAAAUGCCAUAUUUUACAUUUUAUCAACUAAUAAUUUAAAGAAAAACCACACAAAACUUCUCAUUUUAAAAAUUUAUUGAAGAAUUAAAAUUAUU